Pecten maximus is the source of this 639-nucleotide long non-coding RNA. RefSeq lists it as uncharacterized. Lineage: Eukaryota; Metazoa; Mollusca; Bivalvia; Pectinida; Pectinidae. The record is from RefSeq and is a predicted model, not a curated record. The transcript has 3 exons.
CAAAUAUGGCGGGAGCUGUGUCUGUGGAAAGGGAUGACCUGCAUAUUUCGUUGUUUUUAAGUGAAAAUUGCCUUUGAUUUGUUUUUAUCCAUAUGUCACAUCUGAAACACUUCUCUUAAGAAUGUCUAGGCAAUAUACGCGCAAUUAUUUCUACCAGGCUUGGCUUUGUUGAAAGAUAUCAUGCAUCCAGGGCAUAACAUUUUGUAUGUCCUGAACCGCCGGGGGAGCAGAUCGCUUGCAAUCACAGUAGCGAGGCAUCACUGCCAUCAGAUGCUGUCUGUAGCAGACCAUGGGUUUAAUGCUGCCUCUUCUCUCCACUUAUCACAGGAACACAUCUCAAAAGAUGCCAAUUUCUGAAGAGUAUGAUGAUAGGGAGAAAAUAAGAAUGAACAGUGGUCGAACAAUGUGUAUACUGCCUUUCAGUGGGAAUUGGAGUACAUUGAACAUGUGGUUGCCAUAGUAACUGAUAUUUAAACAACUUCUUUCUCAUUAAAUAUAUGCUUAUGUCAUAAUGAUGGUGUUAAGUUUUAUUUGUUAUUAAUGGUAAUAGUCAGUGUAUAUAUGUUAACAACAUACAUUGAUUUAAAAGCACCAUGCUUAAUUUGAUAGUGUGAUAAUAUUCAGUCAGUAUUUUUCAAA